GGCAAAUGCGUUCCUAUCUGCAGUCGAGCGACAGAUAGGAACUUGGUCCUUUGACGUUGCGGGGGACGGGUGAGUAACACGUGGAUAACCUACCUAUGACACUGGGAUAACUUCGGGAAACCGGAGCUAAUACCGGAUAACAUUUUGAACCGCAAGGUUCGAUACUGAAAGACGGCCUUGCUGUCACUUAUAGAUGGAUCCGCGCCGUAUUAGCUAGUUGGUAAGGUAACGGCUUACCAAGGCAACGAUACGUAGCCGACCUGAAAGGGUGAUCGGCCACACUGGAACUGAGACACAGUCCAAACUCCUACGGGAGGGAGCAAUAGGGAAUCUUCCGCAAUGGGCGAAAGCCUGACGGAGCAACGCCUCGUGAGUGAUGAAGGUCUUCGGAUCGUAUAACUCUGUUAUCAGGGAAGAACGAACGUGUAAGUAACUGUGCACGUCUUGACGGUACCUGAUCACAAAGCCACGGCUAACUACGUGCCAGCAGCCGCGGUAAUACGUAGGUGGCAAGCGUUAUCCGGAAUUAUUGGGCGUAAAGCGCGCGUAGGCGGUUUUUUAAGUCUGAUGUGAAAGCCCACGGCUCAACCGUGGAGGGUCAUUGGAAACUGGAAAACUUGAGUGCAGAAGAGGAAAGUGGAAUUCCAUGUGUAGCGGUGAAAUGCGCAGAGAUAUGGAGGAACACCAGUGGCGAAGGCGACUUUCUGGUCUGUAACUGACGCUGAUGUGCGAAAGCGUGGGGAUCAAACAGGAUUAGAUACCCUGGUAGUCCACGCCGUAAACGAUGAGUGCUAAGUGUUAGGGGUUUCCGCCCCUUAGUGCUGCAGCUAACGCAUUAAGCACUCCGCCUGGGGAGUACGACCGCAAGGUUGAAACUCAUAGGAAUUGACGGGGACCCGCACAAGCGGUGGAGCAUGUGGUUUAAUUCGAAGCAACGCGAAGAACCUUACCAGAUCUUGACAUCCUUUGACCGCUCUAGAGAUAGAGUUUUCCCCAUUCCGGGGACAAGUGACAGUGCUGCAUGGUUGUCGUCAGCUCGUGUCGUGAGAUGUUGGGUUAAGUCACCGCAACGACGCACCCUUUAAGCUAGUUGCCAUCAU
RNAcentral lists this ribosomal RNA (1100 nucleotides) under Staphylococcus pasteuri. RNAcentral's name for it is "bacterial SSU rRNA". It matches the Rfam family "Bacterial small subunit ribosomal RNA", at positions 41 to 1124 of the family's 1533-position model. The record is from RNAcentral. Lineage: Bacteria; Bacillati; Bacillota; Bacilli; Caryophanales; Staphylococcaceae.